GACCGGAAGGUGGAAUGCACUCCUUCUCAUUCAGUAGCAGCAUNACCAGGUGCUGCAUGGUUGUCGUCAGCUCGUGCCGUGAGAUGUCGGCUUAAGUCCCAUAACGAGCGCAACCCUUAUUANUAGUUACUAACAGGUGAAGCUGAGGACUCUGGUGAGACUGCCAGCGUAAGCUGGGAGGAAGGUGGGGAUGACGUCAAUUCAGCAUGGCCCUUACNUCCGGGGCGACACACGUGUUACAAUGGCCAUGACAAAGGGCAGCUACCC
RNAcentral lists this ribosomal RNA (267 nucleotides) under uncultured Bacteroidaceae bacterium. RNAcentral describes it as "partial 16S ribosomal RNA". It matches the Rfam family "Bacterial small subunit ribosomal RNA", at positions 999 to 1255 of the family's 1533-position model. Lineage: Bacteria; Pseudomonadati; Bacteroidota; Bacteroidia; Bacteroidales; Bacteroidaceae. The record is from RNAcentral.